This 612-nucleotide ribosomal RNA is filed under the name uncultured bacterium. RNAcentral describes it as "bacterial SSU rRNA". It matches the Rfam family "Bacterial small subunit ribosomal RNA", at positions 56 to 658 of the family's 1533-position model. The record is from RNAcentral.
UGCAGUCGAGCGGUAGCACAAGAGAGCUUGCUCUCUGGGUGACGAGCGGCGGACGGGUGAGUAAUGUCUGGGAAACUGCCUGAUGGAGGGGGAUAACUACUGGAAACGGUAGCUAAUACCGCAUAACGUCUUCGGACCAAAGUGGGGGACCUUCGGGCCUCACGCCAUCAGAUGUGCCCAGAUGGGAUUAGCUAGUAGGUGGGGUAAUGGCUCACCUAGGCGACGAUCCCUAGCUGGUCUGAGAGGAUGACCAGCCACACUGGAACUGAGACACGGUCCAGACUCCUACGGGAGGCAGCAGUGGGGAAUAUUGCACAAUGGGCGCAAGCCUGAUGCAGCCAUGCCGCGUGUGUGAAGAAGGCCUUCGGGUUGUAAAGCACUUUCAGCGAGGAGGAAGGGUGGUGUGUUAAUAGCACAUCACAUUGACGUUACUCGCAGAAGAAGCACCGGCUAACUCCGUGCCAGCAGCCGCGGUAAUACGGAGGGUGCAAGCGUUAAUCGGAAUUACUGGGCGUAAAGCGCACGCAGGCGGUUUGUUAAGUCAGAUGUGAAAUCCCCGCGCUUAACGUGGGAACUGCAUUUGAAACUGGCAAGCUAGAGUCUUGUAGAGGG